This 571-nucleotide ribosomal RNA is filed under the name Alternaria sp. AS4. RNAcentral's name for it is "eukaryotic LSU rRNA". The stretch from base 197 to 350 matches the Rfam family "5.8S ribosomal RNA". Lineage: Eukaryota; Fungi; Ascomycota; Dothideomycetes; Pleosporales; Pleosporaceae. The record is from RNAcentral.
CUCCGUAGGUGAACCUGCGGAGGGAUCAUUACACAAAUAUGAAGGCGGGCUGGAAUCUCUCGGGGUUACAGCCUUGCUGAAUUAUUCACCCUUGUCUUUUGCGUACUUCUUGUUUCCUUGGUGGGUUCGCCCACCACUAGGACAAACAUAAACCUUUUGUAAUUGCAAUCAGCGUCAGUAACAAAUUAAUAAUUACAACUUUCAACAACGGAUCUCUUGGUUCUGGCAUCGAUGAAGAACGCAGCGAAAUGCGAUAAGUAGUGUGAAUUGCAGAAUUCAGUGAAUCAUCGAAUCUUUGAACGCACAUUGCGCCCUUUGGUAUUCCAAAGGGCAUGCCUGUUCGAGCGUCAUUUGUACCCUCAAGCUUUGCUUGGUGUUGGGCGUCUUGUCUCUAGCUUUGCUGGAGACUCGCCUUAAAGUAAUUGGCAGCCGGCCUACUGGUUUCGGAGCGCAGCACAAGUCGCACUCUCUAUCAGCAAAGGUCUAGCAUCCAUUAAGCCUUUUUUCAACUUUUGACCUCGGAUCAGGUAGGGAUACCCGCUGAACUUAAGCAUAUCAAUAAGCGGAGGAA